UGGGGAAUCUUGGACAAUGGGCGAAAGCCUGACCCAGCAACGCCGCGUGAAGGAUGAGGUAUUUCGGUAUGUAAACUUCGAAAGAAUAGGAAGAAUAAAUGACGGUACUAUUUAUAAGGUCCGGCUAACUACGUGCCAGCAGCCGCGGUAAUACGUAGGGACCAAGCGUUGUUCGGAUUUACUGGGCGUAAAGGGCGCGUAGGCGGCAAUUCAAGUCAUCUGUGAAAUCUCCGGGCUUAACUCGGAACGGUCAGAUGAUACUGCUUUGCUAGAGUGCAGAAGGGGCAAUCGGAAUUCUUGGUGUAGCGGUGAAAUGCGUAGAUAUCAAGAGGAACACCUGAGGUGAAGACGGGUUGCUGGGCUGACACUGACGCUGAGGCGCGAAAGCCAGGGGAGCAAACGGGAUUAGAUACCCCUGUAGUCCCUGAGCGGGCUGGCAAGGCGCAU
Molecule: ribosomal RNA, 447 nt
Filed under: uncultured bacterium
Lineage: Bacteria
Description: bacterial SSU rRNA
Rfam family: Bacterial small subunit ribosomal RNA
Source: RNAcentral